Molecule: ribosomal RNA, 253 nt
Filed under: uncultured bacterium
Lineage: Bacteria
Description: partial 16S ribosomal RNA
Rfam family: Bacterial small subunit ribosomal RNA
Source: RNAcentral
UACGGAGGAUCCAAGCGUUAUCCGGAUUUAUUGGGUUUAAAGGGUGCGUAGGCGGUUUUUUAAGUCAGUGCUGAAAUACUCCAGCUUAACUGGAGGGGUGGCAUUGAUACUGGAAGACUUGAGUACAGAUGAGGUAGGCGGAAUUGACGGUGUAGCGGUGAAAUGCAUAGAUAUCGUCAAGAACACCGAUAGCGAAGGCAGCUUACUGGGCUGUAACUGACGCUGAUGCACGAAAGUGUGGGGAUCAAACAGG